RNA transcript from Papaver somniferum (opium poppy), 3048 nucleotides. RefSeq lists it as uncharacterized. The record is from RefSeq and is a predicted model, not a curated record. Lineage: Eukaryota; Viridiplantae; Streptophyta; Magnoliopsida; Ranunculales; Papaveraceae. The transcript is spliced from 6 exons.
AAAAAGUAAAAACAUCGAGAGAAAAAAAAACGUAGAACAAAACCUAAAAAAAGAUUCUUCUUCUGUCAUCUUCUCCUCUAUUCACCGCCAAAAAAAUUCUUUCUCCAUCGCGAUGGUUCAUUCAUCACAUCUAUUUGGUUCUCCGUCCUUUCUUCUUCUUGAUUCUCUCUGUGUUUUUUUUGAUUUACUAUUGAUUUGUUUUGUUUUGUUUUUCUGUCGCAGGUGAUAUACUUUGAUAGGGAAUCUGAAAAGGGGACUAAUUCUUUUACCAUGUAAUUUUCAAAAGGAUCAAAUACGAUUCAUAAUUUUGUUGGUAAACCCUAACCCUAAUGUGUUUGAUUUUAUUUUCCAGGUACGUUAUUUUCUCAAAAGAUUCAUAGUUUGUUGGUAAACCCUAACCUUAAUUUGUUGGUAAACCCUAACCUUAAUUUCUUCUUUUGUUGAGUUUUUGGUUGUACCAAUGCUCUGAUGGGAUGGGUUCAUCAUAUAUAUUCUUAGUGUUUGCUUAAUAGUAAAAAUCGCUGGAUUAUAGAAAGUUAUUUUUUGCUUGAACAACAGUAAUGAGGCUAAACCUCCACAGUACUUUUUAUUUCCCAUGAAUUUCACUGAAAAGGUAUGAGCUUUGCAACAACACCCUAACCCUAUUUUGCAUUUCUCUAUUUCUUCUCAUAAUUCUCGCUUUGAUAUUUGAUUGUAUAAGUGUUGUUAUGGUGAUAGAAGCGUAGAAAUUGGAAACCCGACCAGGAAAAUACGAGCUUUAGAUUAAUGUUGAUUCAAGGUUUUGUGCAUUUAGAAAGAAGAAAUCCAGGGUAUUAUGAACCAAGGUCCUAAAAGUUUGGGACAAAAUUGGCUUACCAUUAGAAGUUUCUGGGUCUUUAUGGAGACACUCAGUCAAUCAAGAAUGCUUAGAAACAGCAUUCAAAGCUCUUCUUGUGCCACAAGGGCUCUUUUCAUAUUCGAUGGGUGCAUAUCCAGCAGCGCAAAACGUGUGGCCCGCAGGUUAUGGAUCUCAACCACAUGCUUGGAACUAGGCUUCCACGUGCAUAGAGACAACAAUGGAACACUGGAUACACUCAACAGGCGGGAAUUCAUAGUAAAUGUUAACUUUUUUAUUUUUUUUUGCAAUUCACAAUUCUCAUUGCCCAUGCUCAUUCAUUUGGUUCCUAGGACACUGUUAGCUCAGGAUAAAGGUUUAGUGGUUUAAUUUUUGUGUAAUUGAGGUUAUGUAUGUUCUAAGUUGCAUUCUUAGCGAAGAAGGAGAUGAGCAAGGGAACAUGAAGCGUUAGAUAAAAAUGCAUAAGAUGCUUGGUGGUAAAAGCUAAGGAAAGGGAGAAAGAAAACCAUAAAAUCAUACAAAGAUUGACCGAAAAAUUAUGAAUUAGGGUACUAGGUUCUCAGUUCUACACAGUGCCUGAUGCUUCCAUCAUUCGUAUGACCAGUCCAAACUGAAUUGUGUUAGUAUUUUUCAAUCUUUUUCAUUUUACUAUUGAAGCAGAAGGUAAAAUUCUUCAAUUUUUUUAAUAUAUUUCCAUUAAAAGAGUUGAUUGUGCAUCAAGCUAUUAGCUAUCAUUACCCUGAACUAACAAAAAAAGGUUUAAAACAAGUUGAUUGUGUAUUAGAUCAACCAAUUUCCAGUUUCUUGAACAUUUAGAUAGAAUACAUCUUUUGUUUAAGGGCAGCAAAGUAAAGUAAAGCAAGUAUCAUGGUCUUCUUUUCUCCACUGUCGAUUAUUAAUAGUAAGGACUUAUUUUUUAUUAUGCACGGAUGUGUAUAGUAUUUAAUUUUUAGUUGAAAUUGGUGGUUGUUUUCCGUGUUGAUAGGGAUGUUAGUAUUACUGCAUAUGGACAGGGUACUAGGUUCUCGGUUCUAGACAGUGCCUGAUGCUGCCAUCAUUUGUAUGACCAGUCUAAACUGAAUUGUGUUAGUAUUCUUCAAUUUUUUUUUGUUUUACUAUGGAAGCAGAAGGUAAACUUCUUCAAUAUUUUUUUUAUAUACUUUCCAUUAAAAGAGUUGAUUGUACAUCAAGCUAUUAGCUAUCAUUACCUGAACUAACAAAAAAAGGUUCAAAACAAGUUAAUUAUGUAUUGGAUCACGAAAUUUCCAGUUUCUUGAACAUUUAGCCAGAAUGCAGCUUUUGUUUAAGGGCAGCAACGGGUUUGUCUAUUUAAGUUUUUUGUUUUUAAUUCUUCAUUGAUCUACUUCUUUUGUCAGGUUGAUUUUAAGGGUACUGCAGAUGCAUUAAUAACAAUUUAGGGUUUUUAUUUCUCAUAUACCAGAAAUUGUGUCUUACUUGGUUAACUAGCUGCUGGUCGUUCAUAGAUUUCUCAUCUCCCUCCACAAAAAAUAUCAGAUGUUUAAUGGAUUUGAACUUCAAAUUGUUUUGAUUUCUCAUGUACCAGAAAUUCAUGGUUUUUAUUUCUCAUAUACCAGAAAUUGGGUCUUACUUGGUUAACUAGCAGUUGGUCAUUCAUGGAUUAAUUCUAUGUUCUCAUCUCCCUCCAAAAAAAAAUAUCAGAUGUUUAAUGGAUUUGAACUUCAAAUUUUUCUUCUAAUGGUGUUGUUGAUAAGAAGGAGAAAAAGGAAAAAGAUUGUAUCUUUCGUACCAUUAUUCGUGCAAAAUCCCAAGCAAGGUGAUUUGAUCAUUUUUUUCUUAUUUAUUUAAGCAUGUAUAUAUGCUUAUUAAAAAUCCCACGAACUCCAGAAACCAUGUAUGCUUAUUAAAAUUUAUUUCACACUCUUGCACAGUCUAUAUAUAUAUAUAUAUAUGAAGUAGAGUUGCAGAAACCAUGUAUACUUAUUAGAAUACUGGAGUGACAUAUUAAGUUCUUACAAAUGCAUGUUUUUAUUUUUUCCACGAGCAUAUAAAGAGUUCUCUGUUUCCGUAGUUACGUUUGUAUUUGGAAACAAAAUCUACAAAUUUAGACUAUUGAUUCAGGUGUUUAUCUAUUAUAGAGUAAUUUUAAAGAGAAUGCGAAAGGAACAUAAAGAUUUUGCACUGGCGCAAUAUGCAAGAAAAUUAUCAGGAACGUUAGGUGAUUGCAAUCCCGU